This 7327-nucleotide unclassified non-coding RNA is filed under the name Helicoverpa zea (corn earworm). RNAcentral's name for it is "polyamine-transporting ATPase 13A3-like, transcript variant X2". Lineage: Eukaryota; Metazoa; Arthropoda; Insecta; Lepidoptera; Noctuidae. The record is from RNAcentral.
AUUCGUGUCAAGGUGUGAUGUGAAUAGGUGCGGAGUAAAUCCCCCAAAAAAAUCUUAAAUAAUAUGCGAUGAGGUAGCACCGGUUACUUAAAAAUAACUAAACAACAUCUAAGUAAUAUGCCUUAACUCUUUUGUGUUAUAAACCUUUUAAUAGUUUUCGCGGGAAUGCCGAACAUUAAUAAUGCCUGCGCCGCCAAUGACGAAUACGAAGUCAUUGGCGAGACGCAGUGGCAAGUUAUCGAGAGCAGCGGCGAUGAGCAGACCAUCAACAUCCAUGGCUUCACGUAUUCCAAAUUACGCGCAGCUUUAUUACACACCGUGUGCAUAUUACUAUGUGGAUUACCAUAUUUUGCCCUCGCUUAUUAUCCAUCGUACAACAGAUUCAAAUACAUAAAAUGCAGUUUGAAAACGGCUAAAGAAAUUUGUGUUAUCGAUGCAGACGGCGGGUGGACCACAGAGAAAGUGCUUGAGAUCGACCUGAACCUAUCCAACCAUAAAGAUAACAGACUGCGAUAUUUUAUGUACAAGCACAACCGUUUCAUUUGGCUUAAUGAUCAAGGAAUCUUCAUUAAUGUUCUUGCACUCAAUGAGAAACUCACUAUUCAGUUGUUGAUGGAAAACAUGUCCGGCAUAAAUAAACGACAGCAAAACGAAUUGAUCAAACUGUAUGGCACCAACUCAGUAGAAGUAGAAGUUAAGAGUUACUGGACCCUGUUCGUCGAAGAAGUGUUCAAUCCAUUCUAUUUAUUCCAAGUCUUCUCCAUUAUACUUUGGUCUUUGGACGAGUAUUAUCAGUAUGCUACUUGCGUUUUCCUCCUGUCCGUUGCGACCUGUAUGCUGGCGUUAUAUCAAACGAAAAAGAUGAGCAUCAACCUGCACAAAAUGGCCGGUUCUACCAGCGCUUUUACCGUAACCGUUUUGCGUCCAACCCGCUCGGGCCGUGAGGAGUGCGUGGUGAACGCUUGUCGACUCGUUCCAGGAGAUGUACUAGUGCUGCCACCUGACGGCUGUGUGAUGCCUUGCGAUACCAUGCUCCUUACUGGAACCUGCAUCGUUGAUGAAAGCAUGCUUACAGGUGAAAGCGUGCCCGUAAUGAAAGGCCCCCCUUGCUCGUCUGCAGAAAUCUAUUCAACCGAAGGACACAAAAGACACACUUUAUUUGCUGGCACCCAUGUUUUGCAAACACGAUUUUAUGGCAACAAUCAGGUUUUAGCUAAAGUCGUACGCACUGGAUUUUACACAGCCAAAGGAGAACUGCUAAAAAGUAUUCUGUUUCCGAAGCCAUUUGGGUUCCAAUUCUACAAGGAUGCCGUCAAGUUUGUCAUAUUCAUGUUCUGCAUUGCCGCGAUCGGAAUGGGAUACUCUAUCUGGCUGUAUGUCGUGCGAGGAAGUCUCGUAGGCACAAUAGUGCUCCGCACCCUGGACAUCAUCACGAUCGUAGUGCCGCCCGCACUGCCGGCCGCCAUGACAGCCGGCAUCGUCUACAGUCAGAACCGACUGCGCAAAAACAGGAUCUUCUGCGUAUCUCCGCCUAGGAUUGUCAUUUGUGGAAAACUACAAGUUAUGUGUUUUGAUAAGACUGGCACCCUAACCGAAGACGGAUUAGACUUCUACUCCGUAAUACCGGCUCGGUCGGGUGAGAAGUUCGGCGAAUGUGUAGUGGAUGUCGGCGGCUUACCCGUGACCAGCCCCUUGAUCCAAGCGCUGGCGUCCUGUCACUCGCUCACUAGUAUACAAGGACAGCUCAAAGGUGAUCCUCUGGACUUGAAGAUGUUUGAAUUCACGCAGUGGAUACUUGAAGAACCGGGCCCGGAAAACACACGGUAUGACAACUUGACACCAGCUAUCGUGAAGCCCGUCACUGGCAACAAUGAAGCUCUGCAGAAUUUGGAAGACUAUGAUCCCUUCACCAUGGAGAUUCCAUAUGAGAUCGGUUUGCUUCGACGGUUCCACUUCUCAUCAGCGCAACAAUCAAUGGGUGUUAUUGCUCGAGUGCUUGGACAGCCUCAAAUGGUUUAUUUCGUAAAGGGAGCACCUGAAAAGGUCGCUGGUAUGUGCAAUCCAGAUACUCUACCAGAGAAUUUCAGCUCAAUCCUCAACGAGUAUACCUCAAACGGUUUCCGAGUAAUCGGUCUUGCCCACAAGAAGCUCGAUCGUAAAAUGAAAUGGGUCGACGCACAAAGAGUCAAGAGAACUAGUCUUGAGUGCGAUAUGGCUUUCCUAGGCUUUCUAGUCAUGCAAAAUAGCCUGAAACCAGAGACGACCCAAGUCAUACGCGAGCUACAUGAUGCUUCUAUGAGACUGAUUAUGGUCACAGGGGAUAACAUAAUGACUGCAAUGUCGGUGGCACGAGGCUGUUGCAUGGUGCAACCACAUGAAAAGCUAUUACUGAUCACCGCAGGACAGCCACAGACUAACGACACCCGCCCUCCGCUCAUUAUGGAGGUGGUUGGUGACGGCGGGCCUCCUAAAUUGCCAUUAGAUGCAUAUGUGUUAGCUUUGGAGGGCAAAACAUGGGCUGUGAUACGUACCCAUUAUCCUGAACUAAUGCCGGUCGUAUUAACUAAAGGCAUGGUAUUCGGUCGCUUCGGUCCUGACCAGAAGACGCAGCUGGUGACGGCACUGCAGGGCGAAGACCUGGUGGUGGGCAUGUGCGGUGACGGCGCCAAUGAUUGCGGCGCUUUGAAGGCCGCGCAUGUCGGGAUAUCGCUCUCCGAGGCUGAUGCUUCAGUUGCGGCCCCAUUCACAUCUCAAGAGCAGAAUAUCAAGUGCGUGAAGCUGCUCGCUCUCGAAGGACGCUGUGCGCUGAGCACCUCAUUCGCAAUAUUCAAAUACAUGGCUCUAUAUUCGCUCAUCCAGUUUUUCUCGAUUCUCAUCCUGUACAAUUUCUACUCAAUCCUCGGCAACAACCAGUUCCUAUACAUCGACCUGGUACUAACAACCCUGCUGGCUCUAUCCCUGGGCCGCGCGUCUCCGGGCCCGCUGCUGACGCGGCAGUCUCCGCCCGUGUCGCUGGUGGCACUGUCCAGUAUACUGCCGCUCGUCAUACAGGUGUCCUUGGUGCUGUUGAUGCAGAUAGCUUCGAUAUAUUUGCUGUAUGCUCAGCCUUGGUUCAAACCGGUUGAAGGCGGUCCAGACGUAGAACAAGUGCUAUGUUGGGAGAACACGGUCCUCUUCAUAAUAACGGCAUUCCAGUAUUUAAUCAUGGCUUGCGUUUACGCUAAAGGCUGGCCUUUCAGACAACCAUUCUGCACUAAUUAUUACAUGAUGAUAACCCUGGUAACCCAGUCCAUCUUCGUGACCGUACUGCUGCUAUGUCCAUGGCAUUGGCUGGCAGAAUUCAUGGAAGUGGAACCCAUGGCUUCAGCUGACUCCGAACAGACCAUGUUCCGUAUAUACCUGCUGCUCAUACCCGCGUUGCAUCUUAUACUGGCUAUAGCUGUUGAGGCGACGCUAUCGGACUCGGACAAGUUCUCCCGGCUGGGCCGAGCCAUGCGGCGGCGCUGCGACAAGCAGGCGGCCGGCGACGCCGCCAGCCCGCUGUGGCCCGAGCCCCACGACCACGUGCAGCUCUGCUGACUGACUCAACAACACAUACUGACACAACUCUUCAUUUAAAUCUAUUCUAUGACCUUUAUAGCCCAAGUUCACUCACAACAUAAACGCCAGUUUUCUCAAAACAACUAUAAAUUUAACCUGAAAAUUCAAAGUAAAUAGUUGUUUAAAAAAACUGACGCUUAUGUUGUCAGUAUAAGACAGUUGUCUGUCUGAUAUUUGGUAUACGAAAGGUUGAGGACCAAGUUCACCGACAACGUAACUUGAAGUUUGAAUUUGCAAGUAUAGACUACCAAACCAGUGUACGAGGGUCCAACCGUUUUCGAAUCAAAACAUACGUACCAAAAAAUACAUACAGAGGAAUUAAGAACUUUGUUUUGGAAGUUGGUUGAAAAGUAGGUAACAUAAAUAUCCUUUAGAUGAGAUACGAAUAGUCGAUGAACUUGGACCUGAAUAUUUCAUCUCGCUCGUCCUUCGUGCCGCCGGGACUGUCCCGCCCUAUAGUUACCUUGAACUCCGUAGUGAUAGCCGAGGUGCUACCGAACGAUCAGUUCGAGCUACCUCCCCUUUGUGUUACUAAUUACUUAAUAAAAAAAUAUUUAUUUUUAUCAGUCGGCGAAAAUCUUAAUUAUUUUCGUUUAGUUGGCUGUUACUUAAUUUUAAGUCCGAAUCUAGUAAAAUUAUACUAUUGCCGUUAAUUUUGGCGCUGGCGCUUUGUAUAUCUGUCGAUAUGCAGUUAGGGUUGAGCUAGACUUGCAAGUAUGUAAAAUAACUUCAUGAUUUCAUAAGCAUAAAUGUUUUAUGCGUUGCACCCUACGCACAGUGGUCGUCAUCCAUUCAGAGGUAAAGAGUACACUUUACCCAGUACGACACAAAUAUUUGGUACGAGACAUUUCGUCUGGACAAAAGCAUAUCAACACUUGCAAGUAUUAGUUCAACCCUAACUGUAUAUCUGGUCAUCUUAUUCCUUGUCGAAACAGCAAUAUACAGUCUUUUGCGUUGUGAUAACGCACGAUGUAUUUUCCACUCUGAAUAGGAUUGACUCGACAUCUGCUGUGAUAAACGAACUCUGAAACUUCUAGCGCUCAAUAUCAUUCACGUAUCAUUGUAGCAUUUCUGUACUAUUUUGUUUUAAAUGUAGUUAUUAUACCAAUUACAGUACUUUACUCUUAAGGCUGUAUUAAAGUCAUCAAUUUAUCUACUUAAUUAAAUUGCUGAUAUUACAUAAGUUACUUAAUUUAUGUAAUUCCGUGUAUUCAUCGAGUCUGUCAAGUAUGAUGUUUGUAAAAAAGUGAGAAGGCGUUAUCGGAAUAGGCAAUCUCAUCAACUCAAUCGAGUAUAAAAAAAACUUAAACACUUGUACGCACUUGAUAAGAAUAAGACGAAGAACAUGAUAAUUUAAAUAAAUUACCAAAUAUAUUUGGUUACGCUUAAUGGUAUGAAAAAGGUAACUACUUAAGCGGGUGUAGUUCGUUAAGAUUCAACACUCGAAUAACUUUACGUUCCGCCUUAAUAUUGCCCCUUAACCAUGGAGGAUAAAUAUGAUUAUGUUUGCACAAAGAUAUUAUACUGCAAACUUAUCUUUCAUCUCAAAAACAUGUUACUUAAACGAUUAACAUAGGUAAUAAUCGAAUUUACUAUUGUUUAUAAAAGGGCCAUUACAGAGUUCUUAAACAAUACUUUUGAUGCCUACCACUCGCGCUGCCAAUUGUUUAAUAUAGUGCCAAAACUUGACAGACUCUUGUAAAAUCCUUGUAAUGUCACCUGUUAUGUAUUACAAUAUUUACCUGCAACAGUACAAAACUUGUUAGCUGGUGUGUAAACUAUAAAAACGAACACUGACAUACAUUGCAGACACGUUUAUCAUCACAUACACACUACCACCUCUCAUCAUCUUCAUAGAAUCAUCUCCUAGUGCAAAUAUCUUUAAUUCUUUUAAACAAAGGUUGUCACAAAAAAGAAACAUUGGAAAACAAAUGAGUUUCCCCUAGCUUUUCUUUUUUAUUUCAUAGAAAUAUUUUACAGAAAUCAAUUUAUUAGCAAAUGUUAGUCCUAUAAAAUGAAAUCAUGGAUUUAGGAAUAUAAGUUGAAUCCUACUUAUUUUAUUAUUGUAAAUAUAGAUAAAAUUAUGAAUUGAAAUUACGUAUGUUUGGGUAUGCGCGAUUAGUUUAAGAUAAAUGAUUUGUGAUUUUGCAUUUCGCCCGUAAUUCCCAUACUAAUAGAGUUUACUCAGGCUUUAUUUAUUUCAUUUUACUAUAAUGUAACUCAACUCCUACAGAUUAUCAGUCCUUGAUGACUAUCUGAAUACCAAAUAAAACAAUCAUAAAUGUUUUUUGCUGUAUUGUAUUAUUAUCGUAAAAUAUAUUUAAAAGGUGCACAAAUUGUGACAAAAAAGUUAUUUUAUUUUACGGUGCUACUUAAAUUAUUUUUCAAUUUAAUUUAACACUAUUAUAAUAGCGGUUAAUAACAUCAAAUUAUUUAAUACCCACCUCUUAGAACCCCGAAAGAUAUUAUAUAAUUACUUAUUUUCUUAUAUUUAACACAUUACAAUAAUGUAAUUAAGAUUACUAGUAAUAGUUGUGCGUAAACCACAAUGAGACAUGUUUUAAGAAGUUAUGUUACACCGUGUGGCACAGUUUACACUCGCAUCCUUGUUCUACGGAGCUCCUCCUCGUCUACCUUAUUAUAAUAUACGUAUUAUUAAACAUAACAUAUUUGUAGAGUGCAAUUUUAUUGCAUUAAUCAUUGGUAUUGUCAAGUAAUGUAAGAUACAAACCAGUGAGCGAGCAGCAUUCCGAUUUGUGUACUGUUCAAACCAAAGGAUCGUCUUAAACUGUUUAAAUGUUUUAACGUAAUGUUCCAUGACUGCGUCUUACACCUUUGUUAAUAGUAAAAAUAUGAUGCAGCACAAUUUUAUUAUUGUAUGUGUGUAGGUUAAUCAUAUUAUAAACUUUUCAUUCAGACAGCGAUACCGCAAUUCACAUUCUCUGAACGUUCUAGAAGUAUUACAUUAUAUAAUGUUAUAUACUAAGUCGUAGAAAUAGUCCCUUUUCAUUGUGGGUUUGAAAGGUAUUAUGAUGAAGCCAAAGUUGCUAGGAUUCGUUGAAAGAAAUAGUUUGGAAAUGGCAUUGUAGGUAAAUAAACUUUUUUGGUAAUAGAAUUUGCAAUUUUUAUGUGUCUAUGUUAUAUGUAAUCAAGAUACAAUAAGUAGAUAUGUAAGUUAAAAAUCUGUGAACUUCAUUUGGACGUUGCGAUAAAAAUACAAUCAGCAUUAUUAAGUAAUAUCUAAUGUUCAGAAACGAUGCAAGAGUAUUAUGAUUCAAUCAUUCGGCGAUUACCGCCCAAUGAGUGAAACGUGUGAGUAAUAGAUUGCCGAGGCAAUUUAUUAAUGCAAUAUUAGUAAUAUUUAUGUUUGAUUAGUCAGAAAUUUCAUUCCUUGUUUUUAGUACUUAGACGUUUGGUGCUGCGUAUGAUUUAGUACCUUUUGUUCAUAGAUAAAAACGUAAAAAUUAAAUAUGUAUAGAAUACACAGAUCACUCGAAAUGUUUCGGAACUUAUAUUUUUUUGUAAACUUGUUAUUUAUUGAACUGCAUUAUUGUGGUCGUUUUUUUAGACUUUACUGCAUGUAUGUUUAUAUUUCUCGAAUUUUGGAACUUGUUGACUGUUUUUGUGUCCAAUUGUCACAAUAAUGUAGUUCGAUAUAAAUUUUACUAAUUGCGACAUUAGAAUGGAUGUAUGACCAAAAAUAUUGGAAUAAAUAUUAACUGAAAUA